CCGUCCAACACUCAGAGCACUGGGGAGCGGGUGUGCGGGUAGGGAGGGACGGAGGAGCUAGAGAGAGGGAGCAGUCGGCGUUACCAUGCUUCGUUGUUUGGGAUCGGGGGAAAGGGUGCCGACAACGCGGGGCUGGGGAGGGAGGUGGGAGGAGGGGCUAGAGCUACCAGCAGCAGGGAGAGUGAGGAGGACGAAGUAGUUCUGUCGGUCGUGCAGGUAGGGAGGAAUCCGCGGUACCACCGCCAGCCCUGCCUCGCCCCCGCCUUUCGGCACCCCUCAGGCGGCCGUCCUCCUUCGUCAUAUCCCCGACUACUUCGCUGCCUACACUAGGUGGCGGAGGGAUCCACGAGUAGGCGGAGCCGAGCACUCCUUCGUCGCCCUCCUCCCUACUCGAGUUGACCCGCGUAGUCUCUUUCUCCCUUCCUCGCCUAUGGUCGGUCCUCCGACGAGCCGAGUCAGGUCGGUACCUCGACCGCGACGCCUAAGGGACGAUCGGAGGAAGUAGAAGUACACCUAAAUCCACCGUGUGAUCUACAACGUGGUGGCUACCGUCAUCGGUCUAAACCGCAAGCACCACGUUACCGAACCACAACGGGAACGAACUACCACGACCUAUACAGUUAUUUGACUAGCACCUAAUAGAGGUUGACACAUCAAUGGAGAGAGCGAGAGUUACCACUGCAUCUAGAGGAAAACUGGCUAUACGGUAACAAAGCACGUCGGUCAACUCCAACCCCACACGAACACGUCUAUCAGCUACCCCGCGAACCGGAAGAUCGAUAUCUGACUAACUGUCCGUACCAAGUAACAAUAAAGGAAGGAAAUUAUCAUAACAUUCCCUUCGUCCAAGAGGUUUAUUUACGCCUUCUAACGUCGUAGUUCCCAUAGUGAAGUGACCUAAAAAGAUGAAGAACCACCCGUCGAUUUAAUCAAAGGGACCAGGCAAAGAGUUGAUAGUGUCUUCUUGAGAAAUGAGACAUUAAAAGAGAAAUAAACACGACUUCCGUAUCUAGUUCACGAUGUACCGAUACGAGAAGCCUCGAAUCUCGUAGUCACCAACCGGAGGAAAGAUAAACAAGAAAAAAGAUCCUAAACGCACACAAUUAGCCUACUUAUAUACCUUCCUAUGUCUCUCCGGUCUCUCAAACGAUAGUUUAAGAGUUCGUCGUUCUUCUAUCGAUCGGAUUUACUUAGUUCUGUACUUGUCACAGCUCUUCAAUGCCUACGUCUUCACGUCGUUCAUAGCGGAGAUAAAAAAAAUAGAGUUUAGUUGGCGUCUUUUUUGAUGACCUAUUAGUAGAAGAACGGUGAAAUAUUAACCGAAUGACGAUACUAGGACCACAAUAAACGAUACUCUUUUCUUGCUCUCCAAGUUACACGUGGAGUAUAGUAGUGUAGUUUACCUUAUUAACUUAUCCGAAUAUAUAGUAGUAUAGACGUGUGUAUUAGAGAAGAUACUAACACAUGGAGAAAUAAGAUGACAAGAAUCUACUACUUGAAUACGAGAAAAUACGGUUCAUCAAUUUAAACACACGUACAAGAGUACCUAGUAUGAAUCUAAAACGUUGUAACCGGGUAUCCCGGUACGAUUAAUCACAACCGGUACUAGUCC
RNAcentral lists this ribosomal RNA (1612 nucleotides) under Triticum aestivum (bread wheat). RNAcentral's name for it is "partial small subunit ribosomal RNA". Lineage: Eukaryota; Viridiplantae; Streptophyta; Magnoliopsida; Poales; Poaceae. The record is from RNAcentral.